Molecule: ribosomal RNA, 2377 nt
Filed under: Salmonella enterica subsp. enterica
Lineage: Bacteria; Pseudomonadati; Pseudomonadota; Gammaproteobacteria; Enterobacterales; Enterobacteriaceae
Description: partial 23S ribosomal RNA
Rfam family: Bacterial large subunit ribosomal RNA
Source: RNAcentral
GAGGGAAACCGAGUCUUAAUUGGGCGUUAAGUUGCAGGGUAUAGACCCGAAACCCGGUGAUCUAGCCAUGGGCAGGUUGAAGGUUGGGUAACACUAACUGGAGGACCGAACCGACUAAUGUUGAAAAAUUAGCGGAUGACCUGUGGCUGGGGGUGAAAGGCCAAUCAAACCGGGAGAUAGCUGGUUCUCCCCGAAAGCUAUUUAGGUAGCGCCUCGUGAAUUCAUCUCCGGGGGUAGAGCACUGUUUCGGCUAGGGGGCCAUCCCGGCUUACCAACCCGAUGCAAACUGCGAAUACCGGAGAAUGUUAUCACGGGAGACACACGGCGGGUGCUAACGUCCGUCGUGAAGAGGGAAACAACCCAGACCGCCAGCUAAGGUCCCAAAGUCAUGGUUAAGUGGGAAACGAUGUGGGAAGGCCCAGACAGCCAGGAUGUUGGCUUAGAAGCAGCCAUCAUUUAAAGAAAGCGUAAUAGCUCACUGGUCGAGUCGGCCUGCGCGGAAGAUGUAACGGGGCUAAACCAUGCACCGAAGCUGCGGCAGCGAACGUAUCACCCAAGACAACUUUACGGAGUUGACGAUUGACGGAGCGAAGCGACGUCAAAGCGUUCAUUAAAGUCGAGUUGGCUUAGGGAUACGUUCGUUGGGUAGGGGAGCGUUCUGUAAGCCUGUGAAGGUGUGUCGUGAGGCAUGCUGGAGGUAUCAGAAGUGCGAAUGCUGACAUAAGUAACGAUAAAGCGGGUGAAAAGCCCGCUCGCCGGAAGACCAAGGGUUCCUGUCCAACGUUAAUCGGGGCAGGGUGAGUCGACCCCUAAGGCGAGGCCGAAAGGCGUAGUCGAUGGGAAACGGGUUAAUAUUCCCGUACUUGGUGUUACUGCGAAGGGGGGACGGAGAAGGCUAUGUUGGCCGGGCGACGGUUGUCCCGGUUUAAGCGUGUAGGUGUGUGUUCCAGGUAAAUCCGGUUCACUUUAACACUGAGGCGUGACGACGAGGCACUACGGUGCUGAAGCAACAAAUGCCCUGCUUCCAGGAAAAGCCUCUAAGCAUCAGGUAACACGAAAUCGUACCCCAAACCGACACAGGUGGUCAGGUAGAGAAUACCAAGGCGCUUGAGAGAACUCGGGUGAAGGAACUAGGCAAAAUGGUGCCGUAACUUCGGGAGAAGGCACGCUGACACGUAGGUGAAGUGAUUUACUCAUGGAGCUGAAGUCAGUCGAAGAUACCAGCUGGCUGCAACUGUUUAUUAAAAACACAGCACUGUGCAAACACGAAAGUGGACGUAUACGGUGUGACGCCUGCCCGGUGCCGGAAGGUUAAUUGAUGGGGUCAGCGUAAGCGAAGCUCCUGAUCGAAGCCCCGGUAAACGGCGGCCGUAACUAUAACGGUCCUAAGGUAGCGAAAUUCCUUGUCGGGUAAGUUCCGACCUGCACGAAUGGCGUAAUGAUGGCCAGGCUGUCUCCACCCGAGACUCAGUGAAAUUGAACUCGCUGUGAAGAUGCAGUGUACCCGCGGCAAGACGGAAAGACCCCGUGAACCUUUACUAUAGCUUGACACUGAACAUUGAGCCUUGAUGUGUAGGAUAGGUGGGAGGCUUUGAAGUGUGGACGCCAGUCUGCAUGGAGCCGACCUUGAAAUACCACCCUUUAAUGUUUGAUGUUCUAACGUGGACCCGUAAUCCGGGUUGCGGACAGUGUCUGGUGGGUAGUUUGACUGGGGCGGUCUCCUCCUAAAGAGUAACGGAGGAGCACGAAGGUUGGCUAAUCCUGGUCGGACAUCAGGAGGUUAGUGCAAUGGCAUAAGCCAGCUUGACUGCGAGCGUGACGGCGCGAGCAGGUGCGAAAGCAGGUCAUAGUGAUCCGGUGGUUCUGAAUGGAAGGGCCAUCGCUCAACGGAUAAAAGGUACUCCGGGGAUAACAGGCUGAUACCGCCCAAGAGUUCAUAUCGACGGCGGUGUUUGGCACCUCGAUGUCGGCUCAUCACAUCCUGGGGCUGAAGUAGGUCCCAAGGGUAUGGCUGUUCGCCAUUUAAAGUGGUACGCGAGCUGGGUUUAGAACGUCGUGAGACAGUUCGGUCCCUAUCUGCCGUGGGCGCUGGAGAACUGAGGGGGGCUGCUCCUAGUACGAGAGGACCGGAGUGGACGCAUCACUGGUGUUCGGGUUGUCAUGCCAAUGGCACUGCCCGGUAGCUAAAUGCGGAAGAGAUAAGUGCUGAAAGCAUCUAAGCACGAAACUUGCCCCGAGAUGAGUUCUCCCUGAGACUUAGAGUCUCCUGAAGGAACGUUGAAGACGACGACGUUGAUAGGCCGGGUGUGUAAGCGCAGCGAUGCGUUGAGCUAACCGGUACUAAUGAACCGUGAGGCUUAACCUUACAACGCCGAAG